UACGUAGGGUGCGAGCGUUAAUCGGAAUUACUGGGCGUAAAGUGUGCGCAGGCGGCCGAGCAAGUCGAGUGUGAAAGCCCCGGGCUUAACUUGGGAAUUGCGCUCGAAACUACUUGGCUGGAGUGUGGCAGAGGAAGGUGGAAUUCCAGGUGUAGCGGUGAAAUGCGCAGAUAUCUGGAGGAACACCGGUGGCGAAGGCGGCAUCCUGGACCGAUAUUGACGCUGAGGAGCGAAAGCUAGGGGAGCAAACGGG
Molecule: ribosomal RNA, 253 nt
Filed under: uncultured bacterium
Lineage: Bacteria
Description: partial 16S ribosomal RNA
Rfam family: Bacterial small subunit ribosomal RNA
Source: RNAcentral